GUCCCUGUAGCACAAUGGAUAGCGCGUUGGACUUCUAAUCCAAAGGUCGUGGGUUUGAACCCAACCUGGGAUU
Molecule: transfer RNA, 73 nt
Filed under: Trichonephila clavata
Lineage: Eukaryota; Metazoa; Arthropoda; Arachnida; Araneae; Nephilidae
Rfam family: tRNA
About the family: Transfer RNA (tRNA) molecules are approximately 80 nucleotides in length. Their secondary structure includes four short double-helical elements and three loops (D, anti-codon, and T loops). Further hydrogen bonds mediate the characteristic L-shaped molecular structure. tRNAs have two regions of fundamental functional importance: the anti-codon, which is responsible for specific mRNA codon recognition, and the 3' end, to which the tRNAs corresponding amino acid is attached (by aminoacyl-tRNA synthetases). tRNAs cope with the degeneracy of the genetic code in two manners: having more than one tRNA (with a specific anti-codon) for a particular amino acid; and 'wobble' base-pairing, i.e. permitting non-standard base-pairing at the 3rd anti-codon position.
Source: Rfam by way of RNAcentral